Long non-coding RNA from Marmota flaviventris (yellow-bellied marmot), 1918 nucleotides. RefSeq lists it as uncharacterized. The record is from RefSeq and is a predicted model, not a curated record. Lineage: Eukaryota; Metazoa; Chordata; Mammalia; Rodentia; Sciuridae.
GGGAGGAGAGCAGGCUUCCAGCUAGAACUCAGGGUGUGCUAUGCCCACGCAGGUGGAUAUGCUGCCACCUGGCUGGGCCCAGGAUCCAUUCCAUGGAGAACCUAGAACCCUGGCAGCUCCCGUAGUCUUUACCACUUUGCCACUCCCCGGUGAUACUGCAGGAGGAAAGAGGAACAGAUCUCCAAGCCAACCUGAACAGAGGGAGGGGCAGCACAAGCAGGGGUAGGGGAAGCCAUGGUUUGGUUGUCUUUCCCCUCCUCCAGCCUUUGUUCCCACUGAUCCCUGUCCGGCCUUUCUCACUGUCCUCUUCUUCCAAAUCCUUCCCACCUUCCCAUCCCUCAUCCUGCCAACUCCAGAUGUCCCCUGAGCUACCUCACCUGGGAGGGUGGAGCUGGGUGGAGCAUUGAGCGCCAGGCAAUGCUGGGAUCGAACCUAGGACCUUGGGCAUGCUGGACAGUGCUCCACCACCGAGCUAUACCCCCAGCCCUAAUGAUAAUUCCCCUAUGCAAUCCUCAUCAGCUUCUCUUUUUCUGUGUCUACAUUAUCUAACAGUGGAAUUGAGACAUCUGCCGUUAUUAAGCAACACAGCAUAAAGUUGAGAGGGUCAGGAGGUGAGGCUUGGCCCGGCUUUAUUUUGGCCUGAUCAAGGGAAAGUGAACAAAACAACCAAAAUGGAACCCGGGGAAAGAGCCGACAGCACAAGGAGGAAGAAAAUUGUUCUGAAGGUUCAGAUGAAAAGCCUAUUUUUUUUCGGACGUGACUUUUCUAUAACAGAAUAAAACUCUCCAAGUCAUCUGAUUGGCAUUCUCAAGAACAAACAGACCAGGAAGCUUUGAUGUGGUGAUUAUUUGCUGGGCACUUCCCAAGUGGGCAAGAGAUAUGAAUAGGCUGUUCAUAGAAAUGGAAAUGCAAAUGGCUCUCCAACAUGUAAGAGGAUGCGAGGUCUCACCCAUAAGAGAAAUGCAAACCACAGCUACAGUGAGGCAUGAUUUUUCACCUAUCAGAUUGGCAAAAAUCCUAGAGUUUAAUAUCAAGGGUUGCGAGACCAUCGGGAUUUUACCUUGAGGUGCUCACCCCUCCCUCACUUUUGGCGAUGGCAUUCACAGAGAUUUCCUCUCUGGAGCUCCCAGGGUGGCCCUGACAGGCUUAAGCCUGCUAAAUUUCUCAUCACGGUGUGUGUGUGUGUAAGGGGAUGAUCAGUAGAUAUUAUGGGGUGACCUUGGAGCAAACCACUUAAGCACUUGGAGCUUUAUUUUCCUCAUCUGAGAAGCAGACAGUAAUAGAGACUCGGGAAAAGCAGCCAGGGCAGCAAUAAGUGGCGCUUUUUAUUGACUUUGGUAAUUGGAUACAUACGAGUUUAAAUACAUGUGCUUGACUAAUCUGAAGAUUUAGAUAAUUACAAACUUGAUUUCCACUUUCUAAAUCAUUCUAGAAGAUAAUAAACAGGAAAAACCUAGAAUGUGUAGCAAAGAACAAAAAAGCAAAGCAAUAAGGAAGCAAGAAAUUUAAAAAAUAGAAAAGUAAAAUGAGACUACAUUAGUUAUGAAAUAGAUAUAAAUAAAUUAAGCUAUGUUAUUGAAAGCAAAGAUUCUCAUUCUCAUGUUUAAAAACAAAAUCCAACUACACGAUAUGUUGCUUAGGAGAAAUAACACACUGGGGAGUCUGAGGCAGGAGGCCUGCAAGUUCUGCGCCACACUGGGUCACUUGGCAAGACUCUGUCUCAAAAUAGAAAGAAAGACAGACAGACUUAAUAUAAAAUAUCCAAAUAUAUUAAAAAAUAUACAUGUUAAAUGGAGACAAAAUAUAGGAAAGAUAUCUUGGAGUAGAAAAAGCUCUUCUAACUAUGGCUCAAAAUUUAGAAGCCAUUUAAAAAAUGGAAAAGCUGAACCUCAGAAAAUAAAAACUUCUGCAUUAUAAA